UUGACGCUUCUCCAGUUUGCACUUCCAUGAAGAUUUCUAGAUAUUGAGGGCAUCGUUACUGAGUGCAAAUUUCCUCCACUCAAUGAAGGGAAACUUUAGCAGAAGCAAAAAGUGGCAGCUCAGAGGCAGCGCGAGCGCUAGGGAGGGAGACAAUACUGGCGCAGCAGAAUGCGUAAACAGUGGUGUAAACAAACGACUUACUCAAGAUUUACUUGCGUUCGACGCGUUCGACACUCGGUUACUACUACUGGUGUAGGUGUAAUGUGUCUUGUUUUUAUUAUAAUUUAGAUCGUAGUCGAACAUGGACAUAACCAAGUAUUUCAAGAAACAGCCAAAGUCUGGUCCCACUCCGGCUCCAGACCAAACCGCGUCUUCCUCGGAGAGUGCCUCCGGCCACGGCGAUGGCGCCGAUGCGGAACCAACGGAUUCGUCGGCUCCUGCCUGUAAGACCAAAUCAUCCAUCCACACUACUUUUCAUGUACCUAUGCUCUUUUGCUUUCUAUGUACUUGAAUGACCAAGACAAAGACAAAUGUG
Molecule: long non-coding RNA, 535 nt
Organism: Amphibalanus amphitrite
Lineage: Eukaryota; Metazoa; Arthropoda; Thecostraca; Balanomorpha; Balanidae
Exons: 2
Source: RefSeq, a predicted model, not a curated record